AUACGUAGGGUGCAAGCGUUAAUCGGAAUUACUGGGCGUAAAGCGUGCGCAGGCGGUUUUGUAGGACAGUGGUGAAAUCCCCGGGCUCAACCUGGGAACUGCCAUUGUGACUGCAAGGCUGGAGUGCGGCAGAGGGGGAUGGAAUUCCGCGUGUAGCAGUGAAAUGCGUAGAUAUGCGGAGGAACACCGAUGGCGAAGGCAAUCCCCUGGGCCUGCACUGACGCUCAUGCACGAAAGCGUGGGGAGCAAACAGGAUUAGAUACCCUGGUAGUCCACGCCCUAAACGAUGUCAACUGGUUGUUGGGUCUUCAUUGACUCAGUAACGAAGCUAACGCGUGAAGUUGACCGCCUGGGGAGUACGGCCGCAAGGUUGAAACUCAAAUGAAUUGACGGGG
RNAcentral lists this ribosomal RNA (395 nucleotides) under uncultured bacterium. Its description in RNAcentral is "partial 16S ribosomal RNA". It matches the Rfam family "Bacterial small subunit ribosomal RNA", at positions 523 to 918 of the family's 1533-position model. The record is from RNAcentral.